GACGAACGCUGGCGGCGUGCUUAACACAUGCAAGUCGAACGGAAAGGCCUGCUUUCCCUUGUGGAUUGCGGGUACUCGAGUGGCGAACGGGUGAGUAACACGUGAGUGAUCUGCCCCCAACUUGGGUAUAAGCCUGGGAAACUGGGUCUAAUUCCCGAUAGGACUGCAGGGUGGUGCCUGUGGUGGAAAACGAUUUUCUAGUGGUUGGGGAUGAGCUCGCGGCCUAUCAGCUUGUUGGUGGGGUAAUGGCCUACCAAGGCGGCGACGGGUAGCCGGCCUGAGAGGGUGGACGGCAACAUUGGGACUGGGAUACGGCCCAGACUCCUACGGGAGGCAGCAGUGGGGAAGAUUGCACAAUGGGCGGAAGCCUGAUGCAGCGACGCCGCGUGGGGGAUGACGGCCUUCGGGUUGUAAACUCCUUUCGACCGCGAGGAAGCCACCUGGUUGGAAGGGUGGUGACGGUAGUGGUAGAAGAAGCACCGGCUAACUACGUG
RNAcentral lists this ribosomal RNA (494 nucleotides) under uncultured bacterium. RNAcentral's name for it is "partial 16S ribosomal RNA". It matches the Rfam family "Bacterial small subunit ribosomal RNA", at positions 28 to 507 of the family's 1533-position model. The record is from RNAcentral.